UCUUAGUGGCGAACGGGUGAGUAACACGUAGGGAACCUGCCCAUGUACCCGGGAUAACAGAUGGAAACGUCUGCUAAAACCGGAUAGGGUAUAGACAAGGCAUCUUGGCUAUAUUAAAGGACCUUCGGGUGUGGACAUGGAUGGACCUGCGGCGUAUUAGCCAGUUGGCGGGGUAACGGCCCACCAAAGCGAUGAUACGUAGCCGGCCUGAGAGGGUAGACGGCCACAUUGGGACUGAGACACGGCCCAAACUCCUACGGAAGGCAGCAG
RNAcentral lists this ribosomal RNA (270 nucleotides) under uncultured bacterium. Its description in RNAcentral is "partial 16S ribosomal RNA". It matches the Rfam family "Bacterial small subunit ribosomal RNA", at positions 90 to 354 of the family's 1533-position model. The record is from RNAcentral.